CACCGCGGUUAUACGAAAGGCCCAAGUUGAAAAACAUUCGGCGUAAAGGGUGGCUAAGGACCUAUUCUAAACUAGAGCUGAAUUUCUUCAAAGCUGUUAUACGCUCAUGAAAAGCAGAAAAUCAACCACGAAAGUGGCUCUAACUAUUCCUGACACCACGAAAGCUAUGGCA
This 172-nucleotide ribosomal RNA is filed under the name Scarus psittacus (common parrotfish). RNAcentral describes it as "partial 12S ribosomal RNA". Lineage: Eukaryota; Metazoa; Chordata; Actinopteri; Labriformes; Labridae. The record is from RNAcentral.